UUCCCUUCACCGCCAAGAUUUCGAAGACAUCCAAGUUCCAUUUUUUUUUCUUUUUCCUUCUUCAAUUUGCAGAGAACUUCUAAGAGAGAGUUAGGAAGAAGAAGAGAAAUUUUACUAGAAUUUUUAGGUUGAAGAAGAGGAGGAGAACUCAAGCAAAGUGUAUCAAUGGCUGAAUUUUAGUUCAUUCUGCACAUCACUGGUUUUUAAUUUGGUUUGAACUCUUCAAAAAGAAUUAAGAGGGCAGUUGGUUUUCAAUCGAAAUCAGGAGGUCUCUGGUUUUUCUUGUAUUUCAGAGUGUAUCGGUGGAGUUAGAAUCUCUAUUUGGGACAAGUUAAAGAGGUCGUGUGCGCGCGAUUCUGGAAGUGGUUCUGUUUUGAGGGUUAUCUGAGUUUAUGCACGGGGAAUCAGAUUUACAUGCCUUCAGGUAGAGAUCGACUUCCCGGUGCCUGAUAGACUGCCUUAGUCUGCGGAAGCUUCAUUAUCGAUUGCCAGCAUAAUGUCAUUCCCACGCACUAAUUUCCUUGAGACGGAUGCUAUGUUCCUUGAGUUUACAGACGAUUUAGAUAACCUUGUGGGAGGGUCGUUGUUCGUAGACGACAAUUCGAGAGAGUCUAAUAAUGGAGACGUGUGCAGUCUUGACUCUUAGAGUCAGAGCGCUACGUUGCAGUCAAUGGGUGGAUUCCAAUGACAAUCACCCCUGGCGUAGAAAAGCUUAUUUCCCCACACGCCGUUCGCUUCAACCAAACGAUAGGUGUGUGAGUGCGAAAGACAUUUCCUGUCCGUUGCCUUAAGUAUACAGAUGUAGGUAGAAAAUACAUCGAGGUAAUCAAGGGAUACCUCCAGUGAUCAAGCAAUGAAUAGGUUUGUUGAGCAACAGAUGCUCACCAUCUUUAAAGAGUAUCGGGACGACUGUCACAAACACUUCAAAAAAUACAACGAUGCUAAGAAGGUUCGUGCCAACCCAACAAACCUAUUGGUGGGACGUGAUAAGGAUUGACACUUCCUCUAUGACCACUACAUGAGCUGUGCAUUCAAGAGCAAUCACGGAUUAACAAGAUUGUUAGACAGAAGCAGCCUUAUAAUCAUAGUAGUGGAUCAAAGUCGUUUCUACAACGACAGCAUGAGCUCUUUGAGCAAAGAGAGGAGUUGGUCGAUCAUGUAGAGUUGUUCCAACAAACACACAUUCGAGACGGAACGUUCGUGUCCCAGGCUGCGGAGGAUGCACAUCAUCAAAUGCUAGAACUCCAGUCUUAGCCUACCCUAGAAGGUAAUUAGCCACUCUCUAGGGAUGAGAUAUGCGAGACGGUGUUGGAUAGACGACUAGACUACUUAAAAGGCUUUGGUUAGGGGCCCAAGCCGAAGGCCCGCAAGAUGACAAGUGUGAGCAGUUCCACGACGUCAUGUCCGCAAUCCAUAGUAGAACUUCAAUUACAGGUAAGCUUGAUCAAGAUAUGAAACAGAUUGAAGAGCAGACAAGAAAUCACGAAGUGUUAUUUUCAGAAGUGGAACGAAUGCGAAAGUUGAUAGAAGAUAUGACUCGGGCACAGUAAAGACCACCACAUGAUGAUCCCUAGCUUUUGUGAACCCGCUGUGUAGAGUGGAUGAGGCUCGUUAGGAGAUGUUAGAUUUCGUUGUUGGCUUUGAGUGUACUUCACAACAAUGAUGCUGUCGUGAGUGUUGGACGGGUUCCAUUACGAUAAAGACGAUGAAAGUGCUGGGUGGACCCCAUUACAUCGUAGAGCUAGUAAACGUCGGUUGUACUGGGCAUGUGCUACACAAUGUAGAUUUGUCAUAUUAGUUAAUUUUUUUUAUAUGCUUGUUAUGCCUUGCUAGAUUUCAAUGACGUACACACUGGGUAUUUGAGAAAGUUGUUAUUAUUAUUACUCUUAUACGUUUAUUUUUGCAAAUUGAUUAAACAGAUUUAUAUAUGUAAAGUUUUCAUGUGUUCCGAUCAUUAAAUUUACAGUUUUGAACUGAGUCGCUCACUAAACUUUAUAGCUUACCCUUCCAAAAUGGUUUUCCCACUUUCCAAGU
Cucumis melo (muskmelon) is the source of this 2034-nucleotide long non-coding RNA. RefSeq lists it as uncharacterized. The record is from RefSeq and is a predicted model, not a curated record. The transcript has 11 exons. Lineage: Eukaryota; Viridiplantae; Streptophyta; Magnoliopsida; Cucurbitales; Cucurbitaceae.